Anthonomus grandis grandis is the source of this 4069-nucleotide long non-coding RNA. RefSeq lists it as uncharacterized. The record is from RefSeq and is a predicted model, not a curated record. Lineage: Eukaryota; Metazoa; Arthropoda; Insecta; Coleoptera; Curculionidae. The transcript is spliced from 3 exons.
GAAUAUUGAUACAAUCAAAUACAUUUGGCUAUUUAAAGACAAAAUAAAGAAUUUCUUAAUAAGUAGUUACUCUUUGAAAUUGAUAAAAGAAAAUAAAAUGAAAUAAAUCGAAGAAGACACAAUACAAGAAUAGUGAUUCUGUGAGUAUGUACCUAAGCCCUCAUUAGUGCAUUUUUUGUUAUAUUUGUUUUGUUUGCUAUAGGGUAAUUCCGGGAGAGAUAGCCCGCCGGGUGAGAUGGCUCUUUCUAAUAUUUCCUAAAUAUAUUUGAUUUAUGGCACUGUAGCUUUAGACACAUCCUAUUCAACGUGCUGUAUAUAUCGUGAUCCAGGUUUGCGGUUUUUUUCUAUACUUUAAGAGUCAUGCCGACUGACUACAUUAGAAAAGGUUCAGUACAAAGAGGAAACUGAACUGAAGAAGAUUUAGUCAAUGCUGCAGAAGCUGUCAGAAAUGGUGUUAUGGGUAUCAGAGAGACAUGCCGUAACUUUAAUAACAUUCCACCACCAACAUUUCACAAGCGCUUCGAAAACAAUGAUUUCCAGAAACGAGCUCUUGGUCCACCUUGUGUUCUUGGUAUCGAAAAUGAGAAAAAAAUUAAGCUACAUAUCCAGAAAUUACUGAAACAUGGAUUUGCACCAACUCGUGAAUGCGUCAGAGCAAUGGCAUUUAACUUGGCAGAGCAGUUGAAAAUUAAACACACAUUUAAUAGAGAGAAAAAACUGGCUGGGUAUGAUUGGUUAACUAUGUUUUUAAAACGAAACCCCGACCUAAGUGUUCAGCAGAAAAGCUGAAGGGGUGUCACCAGCCCGUUGUAAAGAAAUGAAUAAGAUAGAUGUUUAUGUGUAUUUUAAUUUACCUGAAACCACAUUAAUCGAAGGAGAAAUAAUGAGCAAAGCUGGUCACAUAUUUAAAAUGGACGAAACGGGCUUACAAUUAAAUAAUAAACCUGGUUAUGUUAUUGCUACAAAAGGCUAAAAAAAUGUUGCUGCAAUUACUGCUUCAGAGAAGGGAGAAACCAUAACAGUAAUAUCAUGUUAUAAUGCAGAGGGUUAUUACAUACCAUCUACUUGUAUAUUCAAGGGGAAAAAUAAAAAAGCUUAGUUUGAAGAUGGAAUGCCCCCUGGCUCCACUGUUUAUAUGAAUGAAAAAUCAGCUUACAUUAACACUGAUAUAUUUGCUUGGCUAAAAAAUCAAUUUAUACCACGUAAACCGCAACGAAAAGUUCUACUUUUACUGGAUGGGCAUGCUAGCCAUUGCAGCUCAUCAGAGAUGCUUGAACACACUGAUGAACAUGGUGUUAUUCCUCUUUGCCUGCCUAGUCAUACCACACAGUUUCUCCAACCUUUAGAGAGAUGUUUUUUAUGUUUUACCUAUCUAUUAUUGAUUUAUAAUACCUUAGAAACGGAAUAUGUUAUGGUAGCAAUAAUACCUGCUAUCACACCUAGGGCAUUAUAAGCGGGCAUUAUAAUAAUGCCCGGAAAUUUUAUUGCUUAUCCAAAUUUAUUUCUCUCAUAAUAAAGAAUAAACAUCCAUUUUAUACAAAAAAUAAUGUUUCUUUAAAUACUAAAAAUUAAACUUUAUGUCCAAAAUAAAAAUUACAAUUUUGAAAUGUCCCGGAAAAUGUAGCUGAUCCCACUAUAGAAUGGUCGGUGUUUUUUGUGAUGGUAGAGGUGGCAGCACUAACGCUAUUUUGUAUAGUUUGUAAAUUGUCCAUUAAAGAAUUUUCUAUAGUCGAUACGGAAUUAACCUCGGAAUUAACUGAAUUGGCAAUCAUUUUGGCUACUUUAUUUUUGGAUGAAAUACUUUCUUUUAUAUAUCCUUCCGCUACUAAAGAGUUUUUCCAUUUCCCAUGUUGUUUUAGCAUUUUAAACGAAGCACUUGCCUUAACAAGUAAAGUUGACGAUGUGCGACGCAAACAGUGGCCGGUAUAAGCUUCUGCAUUAUCCAGUUUUAAAAAUUUUGCGAUCAAUGUUGGGACGUUUCCUAUGGUAUUUUUCCAACAGGUUGUACUGUACAGCGACUCUUUCUAUAGGUAAGAAAGAAUCUUCGCUCCUUUAUUCCCGCUGGUCUUAAUGCUGCGUACUUUUUUAUUAAAUUUAAAGCGCCUAAAUCUUCUUCAAUGAUAGUGAAACUUUUUGAAGUUUUAGUUUCUGGUACCUUUAUAACCAAGACCGUUUCUCUAUCUUCAAUAUCAUCAAUGGUCAUUUUGACCAACUCAUCUCGUCUUAAACCUCCAAAAAUACCAAUUACCAAUAUGACUUUGUGUACCAAGUAUAGAUAUCAUCAGGAGCCUUCUUAUUAAAUUUUAUUAUUUGUUCUCCUUCCAAAACUUUAGAAUUCUUCGGGACAUAUCCUUUCGACACUUUAAAAAGGAUAUGAGACGAUGGUAUUGCGAGAUGUCUAUAUUUUUAUAAACCAUUAACGUAGACCUUAGGGUAAAAUACUUGGUCCAGAGAGAGUUCGGACUGUAUUUUUCCGACUAAAAAUAUUAAAAUUUGUUAGACAUAUGUACCUACCUAUUAAAAUAAAAUCAAUAACUUACUAGUUCCUGAAUCCAUUAGAACGGUUUCGGUUAUUUGAACAAUUGCGUAGGCAUCUUUCGAAAUACCAAAUAUGCCAUACUCCCGAUCAUACUGUUGCCUUGAUUUAACUGGCAAAAGAUUUUCGGUCGCUUUUAUGGCCUUUUCUCUUAUAUUUUGUGGAAUUUUUUCCAUUUUAAGAAAAUAUUUAAACAAAAAAUGCCAACUCUGACCGAAACAUCAAAAUCAAACUUAAAUAAUCACUGCAAGUCACUUGAUAAAUUUCCUGUACAGAUAGACCCUAUUUUGUAAUUAAUAUUAAAAUUAUUUUUGUUCAUAAAAAUCAAUUUUUAGGUAAAACAUAAAGCAUUGUAUGCACCACGGGCAUUGUUAGACUCUAAUGCCCAUCAGGCGGAAACCUACUAUUUCCACCUUCCGGGCAUUAUUGUCCUUACAAUGUCCUUGAUACAUAAAUAGCUAUAGGAGCCUUAAAGCUUUUUUUAAUAAUGCUUGCAACACAUUUAUUAGAACAAAUCCAACUAGGAAAACUAACCGGUUACAAUUUAACCAGCUGCUAUCUAAGGCGUGGGUAAAAGCUGCGACAGUUGAGAAUGCUGUAUCUGCUUUUAGGUCAACAGGUGUUUCUCAACAUGGUGUUUGGAUAAUACGGCAGUUAAUAAUGAUGCAAAUAGAGCUAAUAAUGAUGAAAAUCAAAUACCAAAACAAGAACAAGCAAUACCAUCCACGUCAACGUCAGGCUUGAAUAACAUAAUAUCGGAACGUGAUGAAGAUCAAAAUCAGGACGCACCCGGAACACUGUUAAACAAAUUUUCGCCUGUUCCAAGCACAUCAGCUAAUAUUGAAAAUGCACGAAAAAGAGCAAACCUGGUAGCUUGCGUCCUAACAUCUCCGGAAAAUAUUCAAAAACAAAAAUUGGCUAACGUGCGUAAGAAGGACGAAGAAAAGAAAAAAGAAAUUAAAAAGAUACGACGAUUAUAAACAAGCAAAAACAAAAAAAUAAUGAUGAUGGGUCAAAUGAUUCAUGUGUAAAGGAACAAACUAAAAACAUAAAAGGGAAAAAUAAAUUAAACCUAACCACCCAAAAACCAAGAGCGAAAAAACUUAAAUUAAAUAAAGACGAGUCAUUCACAGAUACUGACACAUCAGACGACUAUGUUUUCGAAUCUGAGGAUUGCUCACAAGAAGACGAUUCUACAGAAUGCCUUGGAUAUGGCGAGAUAUACGAACUCACAACUAAAACUCAUGACUGGAUUCAAUGUAUUCACUGCACAAGGUGGUUCCAUGAAAGCUGCUCUAAAUAUUCGAAUCUCUGUGACCUAUGUAGAAAAAUUUUAUCAAAAAAGCGAUGUUAAAUUAAGUUUUUUUAAUGGGCCGUCUCACCCAGUAUGGGUGAGCCAACUAACCCAUAGCACCUGGGAGAGUUGGCCUAUUCAGCUUAUUUUUUUUAAACUGUUUGUAGAGUUAGAUUUUUUAGUUUUUCUUUAAAUAUUACUUUUGACGUUAACUGGAAUAAAUGCUUAUGUUAAAUCUC